UACGGAGGAUGCAGGCGUUAUCCGGAUUUAUUAGGUCUAAAGGGUGCGUAGGCGGAAUAAUAAGUCAGCGGUGAAAGCCCACAGCUUAACUGUGGAAUUGCCAUUGAUACUGUUGUUCUUGAAUGCGGUUGAGGUAGGCGGAAUGUGUGGUGUAGCGGUGAAAUGCUUAGAUAUCACACAGAACACCGAUUGCGAAGGCAGCUUACUAAACCGUGAUUGACGCUGAGGCACGAAAGCGUGGGGAU
This 245-nucleotide ribosomal RNA is filed under the name uncultured bacterium. RNAcentral describes it as "partial 16S ribosomal RNA". It matches the Rfam family "Bacterial small subunit ribosomal RNA", at positions 524 to 768 of the family's 1533-position model. The record is from RNAcentral.